Molecule: long non-coding RNA, 3933 nt
Filed under: Salmo salar (Atlantic salmon)
Lineage: Eukaryota; Metazoa; Chordata; Actinopteri; Salmoniformes; Salmonidae
Description: lncRNA (ENSSSAG00000108032.1)
Source: RNAcentral
GCCCGGAUCAAACUUUAAAAAGGCAGAAGAGACUUCUGAUCUCAGACUGACUCAGACAUGGAGGAAGAGGAGUCAGGACCUCACAGUGGUACCACCGUGACAGCAGCACAACCCGACGGCGCUGUCUCCCUGUGAAUACGACGGGUGCUGUUUCCCUGUGAAUACGACGGGCGCUGUUUCCCUGUGAAUACGACGGGUGCUGUCUCCCUGUGAAUACGACGGGUGCUGUUUCCCUGUGAAUACGACGGGUGCUGUCUCCCUGUGAAUACGACGGGUGCUGUCUCCCUGUGAAUACGACGGGUGCUGUCUCCCUGUGAAUACGACGGGUGCUGUUUCCCUGUGAAUACGACGGGUGCUGUUUCCCUGUGAAUACGACGGGUGCUGUUUCCCUGUGAAUACGACGGGUGCUGUUUCCCUGUGAAUACGACGGGCGCUGUUUCCCUGUGAAUACGACGGGUGCUGUUUCCCUGUGAAUACGACGGGUGCUGUUUCCCUGUGAAUACGACGGGUGCUGUUUCCCUGUGAAUACGACGGGUGCUGUUUCCCUGUGAAUACGACGGGUGCUGUUUCCCUGUGAAUACUGUGCAGGAUGUGGAGGCGAUGGAGCAAAAGUUACUCGACACAGCUUUCCUGAAUGGAGUGGUAGCUGCUAUGAAUGGGAUGUUUAUCAAAAUAUUUAUUGUAGUAUUUUGUUUAUUUAGUCCAUUGUUAAUAUAAUCCCAACAAUCGUGCAUGUUAGCAAAUCAAGUUUUCAAGAUGGAGCACUUUCAGUACAGAGCAAACAGUGAUGAUGACACAAAUGAGAAACAUUAUUAUAAUUAUUAUCAUAUCAUUAGCAUCAUCCCUCUCAUUGGCUCUAUACUGCAGUGUUUCCUGGUCCAGGGGAUCAAAAGGACCUUUGAAUUGAAUAAGGUAUGUGAGUGCUGAGGCAAAAAAACAACAGUGUGCAUCCCUUGGGACCAGGAUUGGGGAACACCGCUGUACUGAAAGUCCAUCUUGAGAACUUCACUGCUGAACAUUUUGGGGGAUUUUAUACAGGGUGAGGAAACUAAGGUGUACGUUUUUUGUAAUUUGAUUGAACUAUCCCUUGAUCUGAAAAAAUGUGGUAUAAAUAAACCUGCUCAGAUCAGGGCUACUGUUUAUGAGAUGAUGAUGAUGAUGAUGAUGAUGAUAGGACCAGAUACUACUUGACACGUGUAAAAGGUCUCCCCUCACCUGGUUGUCUAGGUCUCUCCUCACCUGGUUGUCUAGGUCUCAGUAAGGAACUCCCCUCACCUGGUUGUCCAGGUCUCAGUAAGGAACUCUCCUCACCUGGUUGUCUAGGUCUCUCCUCACCUGGUUGUCUAGGUCUCAGUAAGGAACUCUCCUCACCUGGUUGUCUAGGUCUCAGUAAGGAACUCCCCUCACCUGGUUGUCUAGGUCUCAGUAAGGACCUCUCCUCACCUGGUUGUCUAGGUCUCAGUAAGGAACUCCCCUCACCUGGUCGUCCAGGUCUCAGUAAGGAACUCCCCUCACCUGGUUGUCUAGGUCUCAGUAAGGACCUCUCCUCACCUGGUUGUCUAGGUCUCAGUAAGGAACUCUCCUCACCUGGUUGUCUAGGUCUCAGUAAGGAACUCCCCUCACCUGGUUGUCUAGGUCUCAGUAAGGAACUCUCCUCACCUGGUUGUCUAGGUCUCAGUAAGGAACUCUCCUCACCUGGUUGUCUAGGGCUCAGUAAGGAACUCUCCUCACCUGGUUGUCCAGGUCUCAGUAAGGAACUCCCCUCACCUGGUUGUCUAGGUCUCAGUAAGGAACUCUCCUCACCUGGUUGUCUAGGUCUCAGUAAGGACCUCCCCUCACCUGGUUGUCUAGGUCUCAGUAAGGAACUCUCCUCACCUGGUUGUCUAGGUCUCCCCUCACCUGGUUGUCUAGGUCUCAGUAAGGAACUCUCCUCACCUGGUUGUCUAGGUCUCAGUAAGGAACUCUCCUCACCUGGUUGUCUAGGUCUCAGUAAGGAACUCCCCUCACCUGGUUGUCUAGGUCUCCCCUCACCUGGUUGUCCAGGUCUCAGUAAGGAACUCCCCUCACCUGGUUGUCUAGGUCUCAGUAAGGAACUCCCCUCACCUGGUUGUCCAGGUCUCAGUAAGGAACUCCCCUCACCUGGUUGUCUAGGUCUCCCCUCACCUGUUUGUCUAGGUCUCCCCUCACCUGGUUCUCUAGGUCUCAGUAAGGAACUCCGGUCACCUGGUUGUCUAGGUCUCAGUAAGGAACUCCCCUCACCUGGUUGUCUAGGUCUCAGUAAGGACCACCCCUCACCUGGUUGUCUAGGUCUCAGUAAGGAACACCCCUCACCUGGUUGUCUAGGUCUCAGUAAGGACCUCCCCUCACCUGGUUGUCCAGGUCUCAGUAAGGAACUCCCCUCACCUGGUUGUCUAGGUCUCAGUAAGGAACUCUCUUCACCUGGUUGUCUAGGUCUCAGUAAGGAACUCCCCUCACCUGGUUGUCUAGGUCUCAGUAAGGAACUCUUCUCACCUGGUUGUCUAGGUCUCAGUAAGGAACUCCCCUCACCUGGUUGUCUAGGUCUCAGUAAGGAACUCUCCUCACCUGGUUGUCUAGGUCUCAGUAAGGAACUCCCCUCACCUGGUUGUCUAGGUCUCAGUAAGGAACUCUCCUCACCUGGUUGUCUAGGUCUCAGUAAGGAACUCCCCUCACCUGGUUGUCUAGGUCUCAGUAAGGAACUCCCCUCACCUGGUUGUCUAGGUCUCUCCUCACCUGGUUGUCUAGGUCUCAGUAAGGAACUCUCCUCACCUGGUUGUCUAGGUCUCAGUAAGGAACUCUCCUCACCUGGUUGUCUAGGUCUCAGUAAGGAACUCUCCUCACCUGGUUGUCUAGGUCUCAGUAAGGAACUCCCCUCACCUGGUUGUCUAGGUCUCAGUAAGGAACUCUCCUCACCUGGUUGUCUAGGUCUCAGUAAGGAACUCCCCUCACCUGGUUGUCUAGGUCUCAGUAAGGAACUCCCCUCACCUGGUUGUCUAGGUCUCUCCUCACCUGGUUGUCUAGGUCUCAGUAAGGAACUCUCCUCACCUGGUUGUCUAGGUCUCAGUAAGGAACUCCCCUCACCUGGUUGUCUAGGUCUCAGUAAGGAACUCCCCUCACCUGGUUGUCUAGGUCUCAGUAAGGAACUCCCCUCACCUGGUUGUCUAGGUCUCUCCUCACCUGGUUGUCUAGGUCUCAGUAAGGAACUCUCCUCACCUGGUUGUCUAGGUCUCAGUAAGGAACUCUCCUCACCUGGUUGUCUAGGUCUCAGUAAGGAACUCCCCUCACCUGGUUGUCUAGGUCUCCCCUCACCUGGUUGUCUAGGUCUCAGUAAGGAACUCUCCUCACCUGGUUGUCUAGGUCCCAGUGAGGAACUCUCCUCACCUGGUUGUCUAGGUCUCAGUAAGGAACUCUCCUCACCUGGUUGUCUAGGUCUCCCCUCACCUGGUUGUCUAGGUCUCAGUAAGGAACUCUCCUCACCUGGUUGUCCAGGUCUCAGUAAGGAACUCAGUAAGAGGGGGGGGGGGGCAGUGCCCCUGUGACAACAACUUUGGACCCCCUUGUGGCCCCCCCUAAAUGUGAAGUAUGAAAUAAUUUUUACAUAACACAUUUUUUGCUAUCGUUCUUUUUUUUUUACAUCCGUUAUUAGACAGUGGCAACGCGGAACACUAAUUUAACACAGACAUCUUCUAGAGGGACGGAUUUAGGAUGGAACACAGCAGUAUCGUACCACAUGCAAAACGAUAUGACAACAAUAACGUCUAAUGUAACUGGCCCCCCCUCUAACAGUACAACUGGCCCCUCUAACAGUACAACUGGCCCCUCCCUCUAACAGUACAACUGGCCCCAGCUUGGCCCCCCCUCUAACAGUACAACUGGCCCCAGCUUGGCCCCCCCUCUAACAGUACAGCUGGCCCC